UGGAAGGUAAAAGUCGUAACAAGGUCUCCGUUGGUGAACCAGCGGAGGGAUCAUUACCGAGUUUACAACUCCCAAACCCAAUGUGAACGUUACCAAACUGUUGCCUCGGCGGGAUCUCUGCCCCGGGUGCGUCGCAGCCCCGGACCAAGGCGCCCGCCGGAGGACCAACCUAAAACUCUUAUUGUAUACCCCCUCGCGGGUUUUUUUUAUAAUCUGAGCCUUCUCGGCGCCUCUCGUAGGCGUUUCGAAAAUGAAUCAAAACUUUCAACAACGGAUCUCUUGGUUCUGGCAUCGAUGAAAACGCAGCGAAAUGCGAUAAGUAAUGUGAAUUGCAGAAUUCAGUGAAUCAUCGAAUCUUUGAACGCACAUUGCGCCCGCCAGUAUUCUGGCGGGCAUGCCUGUCCGAGCGUCAUUUCAACCCUCGAACCCCUCCGGGGGGUCGGCGUUGGGGAUCGGCCCUCCCUUAGCGGGUGGCCGUCUCCGAAAUACAGUGGCGGUCUCGCCGCAGCCUCUCCUGCGCAGUAGUUUGCACACUCGCAUCGGGAGCGCGGCGCGUCCACAGCCGUUAAACACCCAACUUCUGAAAUGUUGACCUCGGAUCAGGUAGGAAUACCCGCUGAACUUAAGCAUAUCAAUAAGCGGGAGGA
RNAcentral lists this ribosomal RNA (647 nucleotides) under Trichoderma harzianum. RNAcentral's name for it is "eukaryotic LSU rRNA". The stretch from base 260 to 412 matches the Rfam family "5.8S ribosomal RNA". The record is from RNAcentral. Lineage: Eukaryota; Fungi; Ascomycota; Sordariomycetes; Hypocreales; Hypocreaceae.